AGUCUGACCUGCCCAAUGAUUUAAUUUAAUGGCCGCAGUAUUUUGACUGUGCAAAGGUAGCAWAAUCAUUAGUUUCUUAAUUAGAAACUGGAAUGAAGGGUUGAACGAAAAAAUAUCUGUCUCUUUAUUAAUGAUUUAGAAUUUUAUUUUUAAGUAAAAAAGCUUAAAUAUUUUAGAAAGACGAGAAGACCCUAUAGAGUUUUAUAUAUUUUGUAUUAUUCUAAAUUUAGAAUUUUUUUUAUUAUUAUAGUUUGCAAUGUAUUUAGUUGGGGUGAUUAAAAAAUUUAAAAAACUUUUUGUUAGUAAAUCAUUAAUUUAUGAUUAUUUGAUCCAUUAUUUAUGAUUAUAAGAUUAAAUUACCUUAGGGAUAACAGCGUAAUUUCUUUGGAGAGUUCUAAUCGAUAAAGAAGUUUGCGACCUCGAUGUUGGAUUAAAAUAAAUUUUUAAUGUAGUAGUUAAAAUA
RNAcentral lists this ribosomal RNA (463 nucleotides) under Myrmecocephalus cingulatus. RNAcentral's name for it is "partial 16S ribosomal RNA". It matches the Rfam family "Bacterial large subunit ribosomal RNA", at positions 1849 to 2569 of the family's 2925-position model. Lineage: Eukaryota; Metazoa; Arthropoda; Insecta; Coleoptera; Staphylinidae. The record is from RNAcentral.